GGCGACUUGGCUGAGUGGCUUAAAGCACCGGGCCGAGAACCCGGCGGGGACGUGACGCCUCCAAGCUAACACGCGCCCCCAUCCGUUCGAAUCGGAUAGUCGCCGCCA
RNAcentral lists this transfer RNA (108 nucleotides) under Acidobacteriota bacterium. RNAcentral describes it as "Acidobacteria bacterium (rhizosphere metagenome) tRNA-Leu". It matches the Rfam family "tRNA". Rfam says of the family: Transfer RNA (tRNA) molecules are approximately 80 nucleotides in length. Their secondary structure includes four short double-helical elements and three loops (D, anti-codon, and T loops). The record is from RNAcentral. Lineage: Bacteria; Pseudomonadati; Acidobacteriota.